RNAcentral lists this ribosomal RNA (911 nucleotides) under uncultured crenarchaeote. RNAcentral's name for it is "partial 16S ribosomal RNA". It matches the Rfam family "Archaeal small subunit ribosomal RNA", at positions 1 to 922 of the family's 1478-position model. Lineage: Archaea; Thermoproteati; Thermoproteota. The record is from RNAcentral.
UUCCGGUUGAUCCCGCCGGACCCGACUGCUAUCGGAUUGAGACUAAGCCAUGCGAGUCAACCCGCAAGGGUGGCGGACGGCUCAGUAACACGUAGUGAACCUGCCCUGGGGACGUGGACAACCAUGGGAAACUGUGGCUAAACCGCGAUAGGUCAUUGUUUCUGGAAUGGGCAAUGGCUCAAACCUACAUGGCCCCAGGAUGGCACUGCGGCCGAUCAGGUUGUUGGUGAGGUAAUGGCCCACCAAGCCUGUAACCGGUACGGGCUCUGAGAGGAGGAGCCUGGAGAUGGGCACUGAGACAAGGGCCCAGGCCCUACGGGGCGCAGCAGUCGCGCAAACUUUGCAAUACACGAAAGUGUGACAGGGCUAUCCCGAGUGCCGUCCGCUGAGGAUGGCUUUUACCCAGUCUAGAACGCUGGGGGAAUAAGGAGAGGGCAAGUCUGGUGUCAGCCGCCGCGGUAAUACCAGCUCUCCGAGUGGUGUGGAUGUUUAUUGGGCCUAAAGCAUCCGUAGCUGGCCAGGCCAGUCCCCUGUUAAACCCACCGAAUUAAUCGUUGGAUCGCGGGGGAUACUGCCCGGCUAGGGGACGAGAGAGGCAGACGGUAUUUUCGGGGUAGGGGUGAAAUCCUAUAAUCCCGAGAAGACCACCAGUGGCGAAGGCUGUCUGCUAGAACGCGCCCGACGGUGAGGGAUGAAAGCUGGGGGGAGCGAACCGGAUUAGAUACCCGGGUAGUCCCAGCUGUAAACGAUGCAGGCUAGGUGUUUGGACGGCCACGUGCCGUUCUAGUGCCGCAGGGAAGCUGUUAAGCCUGCCGCCUGGGGAGUACGGUCGCAAGAUUGAAACUUAAAGGAAUUGGCGGGGGAGCACCACAAGGGGUGAAGCUUGCGGUUUAAUUGGAUUCAACGCCGGG